Molecule: ribosomal RNA, 431 nt
Filed under: uncultured bacterium
Lineage: Bacteria
Description: partial 16S ribosomal RNA
Rfam family: Bacterial small subunit ribosomal RNA
Source: RNAcentral
CCUACGGGGGGCAGCAGUUAGGAAUAUUCCACAAUGGGGGCAACCCUGAUGGAGCAACGCCGCGUGGAGGAUGAAGGCCUUCGGGUUGUAAACUUCUUUUCUCUGUGAAGCGGUAACAGAGGAAUAAGGGUCUGCUAACUACGUGCCAGCAGCCGCGGUCAUACGUAGGACCCAAGCGUUAUCCGGAUUGACUGGGCGUAAAGAGUGCGUAGGUGGUUUGUUAAGCGAAUAGUGAAAUCUUGUGGCUCAACCAUAAGGCUAUUAUUCGAACUGGCAAACUCGAGAAUGGAAGAGGUAUCUGGAAUUUCUAAUGUAGGGGUAAUAUCCGUAGAUAUUAGAAGGAACACCAAUGGCGUAGGCAGGAUACUGGCCUUUCUGACACUGAGGCACGAAAGCGUGGGGAGCGAACCGGAUUAGAUACCCCUGUAGUC